GUAGGUGGCAAGCGUUGUCCGGGAAUUAUUGGGCGUAAAGACGCGCGCAGGCGGUUCGUUUAAGUCUGAUGUGAAGCCACGGGCGUCAACCGUGGAGGGUCGAUUGGAAACUGGAGAACUUGAGUACAGAAGAGGAAAGCGGAAUUCCACGUGUAGCGGUGAAAUGCGUAGAGAUGUGGAGGAACACCAGUGGCGAAGGCGGCUUUCUGGUCUGUAACUGACGCUGAGGCGCGAAAGCGUGGGGAGCAAACAGGAUUAGAUACCCUGGUAGUCCACGCCGUAAACGAUGAGUGCUAAGUGUUAGGGGGUUUCCGCCCCUUAGUGCUGCAGCUAACGCAUUAAGCACUCCGCCUGGGGAGUACGGCCGCAAAGGCUG
This 376-nucleotide ribosomal RNA is filed under the name uncultured organism. RNAcentral describes it as "partial 16S ribosomal RNA". It matches the Rfam family "Bacterial small subunit ribosomal RNA", at positions 527 to 896 of the family's 1533-position model. The record is from RNAcentral.